AAUUUUAUAUUCAAAAAUAUGAUAUUAAAUUGCAAAUUUAAAGGUAUAAAUAAGUUAUUAAGAUUU
RNAcentral lists this transfer RNA (66 nucleotides) under Eriosoma lanigerum (woolly apple aphid). RNAcentral's name for it is "transfer RNA cysteine". The record is from RNAcentral. Lineage: Eukaryota; Metazoa; Arthropoda; Insecta; Hemiptera; Aphididae.